This 253-nucleotide ribosomal RNA is filed under the name uncultured bacterium. Its description in RNAcentral is "partial 16S ribosomal RNA". It matches the Rfam family "Bacterial small subunit ribosomal RNA", at positions 524 to 776 of the family's 1533-position model. The record is from RNAcentral.
UACAGAGGGGGCGAGCGUUGUUCGGAAUUACUGGGCGUAAAGGGCGCGUAGGCGGCCCGCUAAGUCGAACGUGAAAUCCCCAGGCUCAACCUGGGAACUGCGUCCGAUACUGGCAGGCUUGAAUCCGGGAGAGGGAUGUGGAAUUCCAGGUGUAGCGGUGAAAUGCGUAGAUAUCUGGAGGAACACCGGUGGCGAAGGCGACAUCCUGGACCGGUAUUGACGCUGAGGCGCGAAAGCGUGGGGAGCGAACAGG